Molecule: ribosomal RNA, 477 nt
Filed under: Candidatus Brocadia fulgida
Lineage: Bacteria; Pseudomonadati; Planctomycetota; Candidatus Brocadiia; Candidatus Brocadiales; Candidatus Brocadiaceae
Description: bacterial SSU rRNA
Rfam family: Bacterial small subunit ribosomal RNA
Source: RNAcentral
UUCGCAAUGCCCGAAAGGGUGACGAAGCGACGCCGCGUGCGGGAAGAAGGCCUUCGGGUUGUAAACCGCUGUCGGGAGUUAAGAAAUGCAAGGGUGUUAACAGCAUCCUUGCUUGACUAAGGCUCCGGAGGAAGCCACGGCUAACUCUGUGCCAGCAGCCGCGGUAAUACAGAGGCGGCAAGCGUUGUUCGGAAUUAUUGGGCGUAAAGAGCACGUAGGCGGCUGUGUAAGUCGGUUGUGAAAGCCUUCCGCUCAACGGGAGAACGGCAUCCGAUACUGCAUGGCUUGAGUGCGGGAGGGGAGAGUGGAACUUCUGGUGGAGCGGCGAAAUGCGUAGAUAUCAGAAGGAACACCGGCGGCGAAGGCGACUCUCUGGCCCGUAACUGACGCUGAGUGUGCGAAAGCUAGGGGAGCAAACGGGAUUAGAUACCCCGGUAGUCCUAGCCGUAAACGAUGGGCACUAAGUAGAGGGGUUUU